GUAGGUGGCAAGCGUUGUCCGGAAUUAUUGGGCGUAAAGCGCGCGCAGGCGGUUCUUUAAGUCUGAUGUGAAAGCCCACGGCUCAACCGUGGAGGGUCAUUGGAAACUGGAGAACUUGAGUACAGAAGAGGAAAGCGGAAUUCCACGUGUAGCGGUGAAAUGCGUAGAGAUGUGGAGGAACACCAGUGGCGAAGGCGGCUUUCUGGUCUGUAACUGACGCUGAGGCGCGAAAGCGUGGGGAGCAAACAGGAUUAGAUACCCUGGUAGUCCACGCCGUAAACGAUGAGUGCUAAGUGUUAGGGGGUUUCCGCCCCCUUAGUGCUGCAGCUAACGCAUUAAGCACUCCGCCUGGGAGUACGGCCGCAAGGCUG
This 371-nucleotide ribosomal RNA is filed under the name uncultured organism. RNAcentral describes it as "partial 16S ribosomal RNA". It matches the Rfam family "Bacterial small subunit ribosomal RNA", at positions 527 to 896 of the family's 1533-position model. The record is from RNAcentral.